RNAcentral lists this ribosomal RNA (1411 nucleotides) under Klebsiella pneumoniae. RNAcentral describes it as "bacterial SSU rRNA". It matches the Rfam family "Bacterial small subunit ribosomal RNA". Lineage: Bacteria; Pseudomonadati; Pseudomonadota; Gammaproteobacteria; Enterobacterales; Enterobacteriaceae. The record is from RNAcentral.
ACUUAAAUUGAAGAGUUUGAUCAUGGCUCAGAUUGAACGCUGGCGGCAGGCCUAACACAUGCAAGUCGAGCGGUAGCACAGAGAGCUUGCUCUCGGGUGACGAGCGGCGGACGGGUGAGUAAUGUCUGGGAAACUGCCUGAUGGAGGGGGAUAACUACUGGAAACGGUAGCUAAUACCGCAUAAUGUCGCAAGACCAAAGUGGGGGACCUUCGGGCCUCAUGCCAUCAGAUGUGCCCAGAUGGGAUUAGCUAGUAGGUGGGGUAACGGCUCACCUAGGCGACGAUCCCUAGCUGGUCUGAGAGGAUGACCAGCCACACUGGAACUGAGACACGGUCCAGACUCCUACGGGAGGCAGCAGUGGGGAAUAUUGCACAAUGGGCGCAAGCCUGAUGCAGCCAUGCCGCGUGUGUGAAGAAGGCCUUCGGGUUGUAAAGCACUUUCAGCGGGGAGGAAGGCGUUAAGGUUAAUAACCUUGGCGAUUGACGUUACCCGCAGAAGAAGCACCGGCUAACUCCGUGCCAGCAGCCGCGGUAAUACGGAGGGUGCAAGCGUUAAUCGGAAUUACUGGGCGUAAAGCGCACGCAGGCGGUCUGUCAAGUCGGAUGUGAAAUCCCCGGGCUCAACCUGGGAACUGCAUUCGAAACUGGCAGGCUAGAGUCUUGUAGAGGGGGGUAGAAUUCCAGGUGUAGCGGUGAAAUGCGUAGAGAUCUGGAGGAAUACCGGUGGCGAAGGCGGCCCCCUGGACAAAGACUGACGCUCAGGUGCGAAAGCGUGGGGAGCAAACAGGAUUAGAUACCCUGGUAGUCCACGCCGUAAACGAUGUCGAUUUGGAGGUUGUGCCCUUGAGGCGUGGCUUCCGGAGCUAACGCGUUAAAUCGACCGCCUGGGGAGUACGGCCGCAAGGUUAAAACUCAAAUGAAUUGACGGGGGCCCGCACAAGCGGUGGAGCAUGUGGUUUAAUUCGAUGCAACGCGAAGAACCUUACCUGGUCUUGACAUCCACAGAACUUUCCAGAGAUGGAUUGGUGCCUUCGGGAACUGUGAGACAGGUGCUGCAUGGCUGUCGUCAGCUCGUGUUGUGAAAUGUUGGGUUAAGUCCCGCAACGAGCGCAACCCUUAUCCUUUGUUGCCAGCGGUUCGGCCGGGAACUCAAAGGAGACUGCCAGUGAUAAACUGGAGGAAGGUGGGGAUGACGUCAAGUCAUCAUGGCCCUUACGACCAGGGCUACACACGUGCUACAAUGGCAUAUACAAAGAGAAGCGACCUCGCGAGAGCAAGCGGACCUCAUAAAGUAUGUCGUAGUCCGGAUUGGAGUCUGCAACUCGACUCCAUGAAGUCGGAAUCGCUAGUAAUCGUAGAUCAGAAUGCUACGGUGAAUACGUUCCCGGGCCUUGUACACACCGCCCGUCAC